Molecule: ribosomal RNA, 729 nt
Filed under: Arenibacter sp. SRO_232
Lineage: Bacteria; Pseudomonadati; Bacteroidota; Flavobacteriia; Flavobacteriales; Flavobacteriaceae
Description: bacterial SSU rRNA
Rfam family: Bacterial small subunit ribosomal RNA
Source: RNAcentral
AAAUUUGGAUUAAUGCCCCAUGGUAUGUAUUAGCGGCAUCGCUUAUACAUUAAAGGCUACGGUACAGGAUGACUAUGCGUCCCAUUAGUUAGUUGGUAAGGUAACGGCUUACCAAGGCUGCGAUGGGUAGGGGCCCUGAGAGGGGGAUCCCCCACACUGGUACUGAGACACGGACCAGACUCCUACGGGAGGCAGCAGUGAGGAAUAUUGGACAAUGGGCGGGAGCCUGAUCCAGCCAUGCCGCGUGCAGGAAGACGGUCCUAUGGAUUGUAAACUGCUUUUGUACGGGAAGAACAAGGGGCACGUGUGCCCCUCUGACGGUACCGUAAGAAUAAGGAUCGGCUAACUCCGUGCCAGCAGCCGCGGUAAUACGGAGGAUCCGAGCGUUAUCCGGAAUCAUUGGGUUUAAAGGGUCCGUAGGCGGGCCAUUAAGUCAGGGGUGAAAGUCUGCGGCUCAACCGUAGAAUUGCCCUUGAUACUGGUGGUCUUGAGUUAUGGUGAAGUAACUAGAAUAUGUAGUGUAGCGGUGAAAUGCAUAGAUAUUACAUAGAAUACCGAUUGCGAAGGCAGGUUACUAACCAUAUACUGACGCUGAUGGACGAAAGCGUGGGGAGCGAACAGGAUUAGAUACCCUGGUAGUCCACGCCGUAAACGAUGGAUACUAGCUGUCCGGAUGCAAAUCUGGGCGGCCAAGCGAAAGUGAUAAGUAUCCCACCUGGGGAGUACGUC